GACGAACGCUGGCGGCGUGCCUAAUACAUGCAAGUAGAACGCACAGUUUAUACCGUAGCUUGCUACACCAUAGACUGUGAGUUGCGAACGGGUGAGUAACGCGUAGGUAACCUGCCUGGUAGCGGGGGAUAACUAUUGGAAACGAUAGCUAAUACCGCAUAAUAUUGAUUAUUGCAUGAUAAUUAAUUGAAAGGUGCAAUUGCACCACUACCAGAUGGAUCUGCGUUGUAUUAGCUAGUAGGUGAGGUAACGGCUCACCUAGGCGACGAUACAUAGCCGACCUGAGAGGGUGAUCGGCCACACUGGGACUGAGACACGGCCCAGACUCCUACGGGAGGCAGCAGUAGGGAAUCUUCGGCAAUGGACGAAAGUCUGACCGAGCAACGCCGCGUGAGUGAAGAAGGUUUUCGGAUCGUAAAGCUCUGUUGUAAGAGAAGAACGGGUGUGAGAGUGGAAAGUUCACACUGUGACGGUAUCUUACCAGAAAGGGACGGCUAACUACGUG
RNAcentral lists this ribosomal RNA (505 nucleotides) under uncultured bacterium. RNAcentral describes it as "partial 16S ribosomal RNA". It matches the Rfam family "Bacterial small subunit ribosomal RNA", at positions 28 to 507 of the family's 1533-position model. The record is from RNAcentral.